RNAcentral lists this ribosomal RNA (253 nucleotides) under uncultured bacterium. RNAcentral's name for it is "partial 16S ribosomal RNA". It matches the Rfam family "Bacterial small subunit ribosomal RNA", at positions 524 to 776 of the family's 1533-position model. The record is from RNAcentral.
UACGUAGGUGGCAAGCGUUGUCCGGAUUUACUGGGUGUAAAGGGCGUGCAGCCGGAGAGACAAGUCAGAUGUGAAAUCCACGGGCUCAACCCGUGAACUGCAUUUGAAACUGUUUCCCUUGAGUGUCGGAGAGGUAAUCGGAAUUCCUUGUGUAGCGGUGAAAUGCGUAGAUAUAAGGAAGAACACCAGUGGCGAAGGCGGAUUACUGGACGAUAACUGACGGUGAGGCGCGAAAGCGUAGGGAGCAAACAGG